Xenia sp. Carnegie-2017 is the source of this 208-nucleotide long non-coding RNA. RefSeq lists it as uncharacterized. Lineage: Eukaryota; Metazoa; Cnidaria; Anthozoa; Malacalcyonacea; Xeniidae. The transcript has 3 exons. The record is from RefSeq and is a predicted model, not a curated record.
CGAGAAGUUGAACUUGAAUCCUAACUUCAUUAGUAUUUUCUCUGAUAGCAUAAUUUUUAAUUUUGUAAAUAUGCAUUAAAGAUGACCUUUAAGCGAAAAUCUAAAAGGAAAGGGAGGAAAAAUGUUAAUUAUACUGAUAUGAGCUCCAAUUGUGAAAGUGAUGAUGAUUUUGAAGUUGAUUUUGAACCACAAACAAAGAAGGCGAAGC